CAGUAGCCGCGGUAAUACGGAGGGAGCUAGCGUUAUUCGGAAUUACUGGGCGUAAAGCGCACGUAGGCGGCUUUGUAAGUUAAAGGUGAAAGCCUGGAGCUCAACUCCAGAAUUGCCUUUAAGACUGCAUCGCUUGAAUCCAGGAGAGGUGAGUGGAAUUCCGAGUGUAGAGGUGAAAUUCGUAGAUAUUCGGAAGAACACCAGUGGCGAAGGCGGCUCACUGGACUGGUAUUGACGCUGAGGUGCGAAAGCGUGGGGAGCAAACAGGAUUAGAGACCCCGGUAGUCCCUGUCUCUUAUAC
RNAcentral lists this ribosomal RNA (301 nucleotides) under uncultured bacterium. Its description in RNAcentral is "partial 16S ribosomal RNA". It matches the Rfam family "Bacterial small subunit ribosomal RNA", at positions 509 to 807 of the family's 1533-position model. The record is from RNAcentral.